Molecule: long non-coding RNA, 953 nt
Organism: Cynara cardunculus var. scolymus (artichoke)
Lineage: Eukaryota; Viridiplantae; Streptophyta; Magnoliopsida; Asterales; Asteraceae
Exons: 3
Source: RefSeq, a predicted model, not a curated record
ACAUUCAGGUAAGCUUUCAUUAUAGAUCACAUUUCCCUAUCCAUUUCGGGUUUUUGGUUUUAUUUGAAUUUAGGUUAGAUUGAAUUUGGUUUCCCUAUCCUUUCAUUUAUGGAUUUCACAUGUUUUGUUAAUUCCUUUAGGGGUCAUUUAUAGUGAUUUGGAGAAGUAUUUUAAUGUAAUCUACUAAUGUAUAUACAUCAUAGAAAAUAACUUGGUUUGUUCAAGAUCUUACAGCAAAAUCUGCUCCAAACCCAUGUCAGGGAGUCUGCUUCAAGGGUUUCAACCCUUUAAAAAACAGCCUACUUCUUGUCUCCUUUCAAACAAAUUAUCUCCGUCACCAGAGCAAGAACCAUUUCGGAGUUUUCAUCACUUCAUUACAGGUUUCUGAAAUGGUGGCUGACAAGGGUAAGAAACCCGAUAUUGGAGAGAAAAUCGUGGAGGACAAUACUGAGCAAAUCAUGAGCUUGUUCUAUCCAUUGCAAAGUUGUCGGAGGUCCAAGAUGAACUUGAAAAGCUAAUUGGAGGCUUGAGCUGAACACUUGGCGUAUGAGUUGGAUGUAAUUGCAUGGAUGACAAUGCCACAACUACGAAUUGGAGCAUGAAGAUCAAAACUGCUUGGUGAUCUUCAUUCUGCCACUUAACCUGUUGAUCAAGGGGACGUUGCUACACCAACUCAAAACAGAACUAGAAGGAAAGCUGGUGGUGGAAGGCGCAGGGGCGAUGAUGAAGCUAUAGCAAAAGGAAUUAAGGGGCCGUUUACCAAAUACUUACCGGGUACAAAUGGGUAAUUCUCCUUCACAUAAGCCAAAGAAACUCCACUACUUGAUAACUACUUGUUUGUUCUACCAUUUUAUCAUUUGAGGUUCUACUUUUAUAGGUAGCAUUAAAGUUUUAGCACCAUUUUUACCCAAUGCUUACCUGAUAAGCGCUUAGCAGUAAGUCAAUAUUUUCAC